Molecule: ribosomal RNA, 1215 nt
Filed under: metagenome
Description: bacterial SSU rRNA
Rfam family: Bacterial small subunit ribosomal RNA
Source: RNAcentral
GGAGAGGACGACCAGCCGCACUGGGACUGAGACACUGCCCAGACUCCUACGGGAGGCUGCAGUCGAGAAUCAUUCGCAAUGGGCGAAAGCCUGACGAUGCGACGCUGCGUGGAGGACGAAGGCCCUCGGGUCGUAAACUCCUGUCAUGCGGGAAAAAGGUGUCCGAUGUAAAUAGCGCCGGACCUCGAUGGUACCGCAAGAGGAAGCCACGGCCAACUCUGUGCCAGCAGCCGCGGUAAGACAGAGGUGGCGAGCGUUGUUCGGAUUUACUGGGCGUAAAGCGUGCGUAGGCGGUACCGUGUGUCGAGUGUGAAAUCCCUGGGCUCAACCCAGGAAGUGCGCUCGAAACUGCGGUCCUUGAGCACAGGAAGGGAGAGCGGAAUUCACGGUGUAGCGGUGAUAUGCGUUGAUAUCGUGAAGAACACCGGUGGCGAAGGCGGCUCUCUGGAAUGUUGCUGACGCUGAGGCACGAAAGUUGGGGGAGCAAACAGGAUUAGAUACCCUGGUAGUCCCAACCGUAAACGGUGCGCACUGGGCGUGGGGAGAUUUCACCCUCUCCGUGCCGCAGCUAACGCGUUAAGUGCGCCGCCUGGGGAGUACGGCCGCAAGGCUAAAACUCAAAGAAAUUGACGGGGGCCCGCACAAGCGGAGGAGCAUGUGGCUUAAUUCGAUGCAACGCGAAGAACCUUACCUGGGUUUGACAUGCAGCUGCACGUCCCAUGAAAGUGGGAUUCCUUCGAGGGUGCUGCACAGGUGCUGCAUGGCUGUCGUCAGUUCGUGCCGUGAGGUGUUUGGUUAAGUCCAGCAACGAACGCAACCCCUGUGCUUAGUUGCCAUCGGGUAAUGCCGGGAACUCUAAGCAGACUGCCUGUAUACACAGGAGGAAGGUGGGGACGACGUCAAGUCAGUAUGGCCCUUACACCCAGGGCUGCACACGUGCUACAAUGGUCGGUACAAUGGGACGCAAGACCGCGAGGUGGAGCAAAUCCCCAGAGCCGACCUCAGUUCAGAUUGCAGUCUGAAACUCGACUGCAUGAAGUUGGAUUCGCUAGUAACGGCGCAUCAGCUACGGCGCCGUGAAUACGUUCCCGGGCCUUGUACACACCGCCCGUCACAUCAUGAAAGCCGUCUGCACCCAAAGCCGCCGUUUCAACCCGCAAGGGAGAUAGGCGUCCAAGGUGUGGGUGGUGAUUGGGAUGAAGUCGUAACAAGGUA